Molecule: long non-coding RNA, 286 nt
Filed under: Bos taurus (domestic cattle)
Lineage: Eukaryota; Metazoa; Chordata; Mammalia; Artiodactyla; Bovidae
Description: long non-coding RNA NONBTAT024185
Source: RNAcentral
AAAGAUUCCUUUGAUGGUGGGGGUCUUUUGAACGAGUCACAUAAACUUUUGGUUUCUUUCUCACUUUCCUCCAACCCCUUGUCCCCUUUGCAGGAUUAAAAAAGCACUUGGGAGGUAUACAUUAAUCUUGCUGGCGUUGUCAGAAGUGAUCAGCGAGUUUUAUUAAAAGCUCUGGGACUGCCUGAAAGACCUCCUUGUCUGAGUUUGAAAUGAAAGGGACAUGUUAAGAUCUUGGGGCACGUUGUCAGGACCCUUCUCCCUGCCCCUUGGACUAUGAGCUGACACC